UACGUAGGCAGCAAGCGUUGUUCGGAAUUACUGGGCGUAAAGAGUGUGUAGGCGGUGCUCUAAGUUCGGUGUGAAAUCGCCCGGCUUAACUGGGCGGGGCCUUCCAGACGGCAUGACUUGAGCAGCGGAGGGGGACGUGGAAUUCCCGGUGUAGCGGUGAAAUGCGCAGAUAUCGGGAGGAACACCGGUGGCGAAGGCGGUUCUCUGGGCCUUACCUGACGCUGAGGAACGAAAGCGUGGGGAGCGAACAGG
Molecule: ribosomal RNA, 252 nt
Filed under: uncultured bacterium
Lineage: Bacteria
Description: partial 16S ribosomal RNA
Rfam family: Bacterial small subunit ribosomal RNA
Source: RNAcentral